UACGUAGGGUGCAAGCGUUGUCCGGAAUUAUUGGGCGUAAAGAGCUCGUAGGCGGUCUGUUGCGUCGGCUGUGAAAACCCGAGGCUCAACCUCGGCCUGCAGCCGAUACGGGCAGACUAGAGUUCGGCAGGGGAGACUGGAAUUCCUGGUGUAGCGGUGAAAUGCGCAGAUAUCAGGGAGGAACACCGGUGGGCGAAGGCGGUUC
Molecule: ribosomal RNA, 205 nt
Filed under: uncultured bacterium
Lineage: Bacteria
Description: partial 16S ribosomal RNA
Rfam family: Bacterial small subunit ribosomal RNA
Source: RNAcentral